AUGGGUUUGGUCCUGGCCCUUCUAUUAACUCUUAGUAGAAUUACACAUGCAAGUCUCCGCACCCCGGUGAAAAUGCCCUUAAAAUCACUCAAAUGACUUAAAGGAGCUGGUAUCAAGCACGCCACAAAGCAGCUCAAGACACCUUGCCUAGCCACACCCCCACGGGACACAGCAGUGACAAAAAUUAAGCCAUGAACGAAAGUUUGACUAAGCUAUACUAAUACAUAGGGUUGGUAAAUUUCGUGCCAGCCACCGCGGUCAUACGAUUAACCCAAGUUAAUAGACAAACGGCGUAAGGCGUGUUUAAGAUAUUCUUCACAACAAAAUAAAGUUAAAUCAAAGCUGUGCUGUAAAAAGCUUCGGCUUAGAUAAAAAUAAACUACGAAAGUGACUUUAAAUAACUGAUUACACGAUAGCUAAGACACAAACUGGGAUUAGAUACCCCACUAUGCUCAGCCCUAAACUAAAAUAGCUAUAAUAACAAUACUAUUCGCCAGAGCACUACUAGCAAUAGCUUAAAACUCAAAGGACUUGGCGGUGCUUUAUAUCCCUCUAGAGGAGCCUGUUCUAUAAUCGAUAUACCCCGAUAAACCUCACCAACUCUAGCUAAUACAGCCUAUAUACCGCCAUCUUCAGCAAACCCUAAAAAGGACUCAUAGUAAGCAAGAGCAUUAACCAUAAAAACGUUAGGUCAAGGUGUAGCCCAUGAGUUGGAAAGAAAUGGGCUACAUUUUCUAAUAUAGAAUAUUUUAACGAAAAUUCCCGUGAAACCGAGAAUAGAAGGAGGAUUUAGUAGUAAACUGAGAAUAGAGAGCUCAGUUGAAUAAGGCCAUGAAGCACGCACACACCGCCCGUCACCCUCCUCAAGCACCACAAUAUAUAUGUAUAGACAAACCUAUUAACUACAUAUAAACAUGUAAGAGGAGAUAAGUCGUAACAAGGUAAGCGUACUGGAAAGUGCGCUUGGAUAAAU
Molecule: non-coding RNA, 973 nt
Filed under: Nesonycteris fardoulisi
Lineage: Eukaryota; Metazoa; Chordata; Mammalia; Chiroptera; Pteropodidae
Description: partial 12S ribosomal RNA
Rfam family: Bacterial small subunit ribosomal RNA
Source: RNAcentral